This 441-nucleotide ribosomal RNA is filed under the name uncultured bacterium. Its description in RNAcentral is "partial 16S ribosomal RNA". It matches the Rfam family "Bacterial small subunit ribosomal RNA", at positions 338 to 795 of the family's 1533-position model. The record is from RNAcentral.
CCUACGGGUGGCAGCAGUGGGGAAUAUUGCACAAUGGGCGAAAGCCUGAUGCAGCAACGCCGCGUGAAGGAAGACGGUUUUCGGAUUGUAAACUUCUGUUCUUAGUGAAGAAUAAUGACGGUAACUAAGGAGCCAGCCCCGGCUACCUACGUGCCAGCAGCCGCGGUAAUACGUAGGUGGCAAGCGUUGUCCGGAAUUACUGGGUGUAAAGGGAGCGUAGGCGGGGAGUCAAGUCAGCUGUGAAAUCUACGGGCUUAACCUGUAGACUGCAGUUGAAACUGUCUUUCUGGAGUGAAGUAGAGGUUGGCGGAAUUCCGGGUGUAGCGGUGAAAUGCGUAGAUAUUCAGAGGAACACCGGUGGCGAAGGCGACCAACUGGGCUUUAACUGACGCUGAGGCACGAAAGUGUGGGGAGCAAACAGGAUUAGAUACCCGAGUAGUC